CUGAGAAGUAGGGACUAUUAACACUCCUAUUUCAUAAAUAUGGAAAAGGGGCUUGGACUUGAAUAGGUAAGCAGCAGUGCCAGAACUCAAACCCAAGCUGAU
Long non-coding RNA from Sapajus apella (tufted capuchin), 102 nucleotides. RefSeq lists it as uncharacterized. The transcript has 3 exons. Lineage: Eukaryota; Metazoa; Chordata; Mammalia; Primates; Cebidae. The record is from RefSeq and is a predicted model, not a curated record.